RNAcentral lists this ribosomal RNA (253 nucleotides) under uncultured bacterium. RNAcentral describes it as "partial 16S ribosomal RNA". It matches the Rfam family "Bacterial small subunit ribosomal RNA", at positions 524 to 776 of the family's 1533-position model. The record is from RNAcentral.
UACGGAGGGGGCUAGCGUUGUUCGGAAUUACUGGGCGUAAAGCGCACGUAGGCGGAUUGUUAAGUCAGGGGUGGAGUCCUGGAGCUCAACUCCAGAACUGCCUUUGAUACUGGCGAUCUUGAGUCCGGGAGAGGUGAGUGGAACUCCGAGUGUAGAGGUGAAAUUCGUAGAUAUUCGGAAGAACACCAGUGGCGAAGGCGGCUCACUGGCCCGGUACUGACGCUGAUGUGCGAAAGCGUGGGGAGCAAACAGG